This 253-nucleotide ribosomal RNA is filed under the name uncultured bacterium. Its description in RNAcentral is "partial 16S ribosomal RNA". It matches the Rfam family "Bacterial small subunit ribosomal RNA", at positions 524 to 776 of the family's 1533-position model. The record is from RNAcentral.
UACGGAGGGUGCGAGCGUUGUCCGGAAUCACUGGGCAUAAAGGGCGCGUAGGCGGCUUUUCAAGUCAGGGGUGAAAUCCGGCAGCUUAACUGUCGAAGUGCCCUUGAUACUGAUGAGCUCGAGGGAGGUAGGGGUAUGUGGAACUUCCGGUGGAGCGGUGAAAUGCGUUGAUAUCGGAAGGAACGCCGGUGGCGAAAGCGACGUACUGGACCUCUUCUGACGCUGAGGCGCGAAAGCUAGGGGAGCAAACGGG